CGAGCACGUAGUGGUGACAUAUAGGCCUUGUUAAGUGUGCUUACAACCAGCUACACAGGACACACACCGACAUAUGAUUUACGCACGGUAUCUAUGUGAUCUGGUGAUUUUGAAGAGGUGUAGGAUAAGUAAAGGAAUUGCUGUCCUCAAAAUGAGUAUAAUUUUUUCAACAAGAGUAGAAUUUUUGACCCAGCUUGUUUGUGCAAGUGUACCUAAUAUUGUGGCCGUGACAAAACUAAAGAUUGUGCCUCUAUUCAACGCCACUUGGAGAGAAAAACAGCUACAGCGUGUAAAACCAGGACUACCCAAUCGUUGUGGGGGGAACAUUUUCAUAAAGAAUUAUGCGAAUGCAAGGACUUCACAUGUUCACCUCACCAAAUGGCUUGGUCUUGUUAAUCAAUAAAACAAGCAAUAUUUAAGAUAGUCAAGACAUCCUGUGUAUGACAGGAGUCUUCUGCUGUUUUGAAGGAUUCACAGCAAAAACACUAGUCAAAUAUCCUCUACAUAGCAGCAUUGCUCUGCUGUUUUUAAGGACUAACUGCAAGUCAAAGAUCCUAUAUAUGACAGGAGUGCGCAAAAAUGCAAGUCAAAGAACCUAUAUAUGACAGGAGUGUGCUGCUCUUUAAGAAUCUACUCCAAAAAUGCAAUUUAGAGAUCCUUUAUACAACAAGAGCACGGUGCUCUUUUCAAGAACCUACAGCAAAACUCCAAGUCAGAGAUCCUCUAUAUGACUGGAGUGUUUGGCUGUUUUCAAGGGUUUACAGCAAAAACACUAGUCAAGGAUCCUCUAUAAGCAGGAAUGAGCAGCUGUUUUCAAGAACCUACUGCACAAAGGCAAGUCUGAGAUAUUGCAUAUAACAGGAGCACUCUGCUGUUUGCAAGAACCUGUAUGACAGGAGUGUGCUGCUGUUUAAGAAUCUACUCCAAAAAUGCAAUUUAGAGAUCCUUUAUACAACAAGAGCACGGUGCUCUUUUCAAGAACCUACAGCAAAACUCCAAGUCAGAUAUCCUCUAUAUGACUGGAGUGUUUGGCUGUUUUCAAGGGGUUUACAGCAAAAACACUAGUCAAGGAUCCUCUAUAAGCAGGAAUGAGCAGCUGUUUUCAAGAACCUACUGCACAAAAGCAAGACUGAGAUAUUGCAUAUAACAGGAGCACUCUGCUGUUUGCAAGAACCUAAUGCAAAAAGGCAAGUCUAAGAUAUCGUAUAUGACAGGAGCACUCUGCUGUUUGCAAGAACCUACUGCAAAAAGGCAAGUCUAAGAUAUUGCAUAUGACAAGAGCACUCUGCUGUUUGCAAGAACCUACUGCAAAAAUCCACAUCAAAGAUCCUCGACAUGACAUUAGUGCCCUGCUGUUUUCAAAAACCGACUGCAAAAAUGCAAGAAAGAUCCUCUAUAUCAUCGGUUUGCCAUAGUUUCAUAUAUUUUGACAAGGUUUUCAACUAAAUAGGUUAGAUAUAGCUAUUGAAAAGAAUAUCUGUAGUCAGAUUACUAUUUAAGUUUUAAUAUUUGAGUGGGCCUCGGGACCCUCUGUAGUGCCAAAGUAGGCCCCUGAGGUUAAAAAGGUUAAGAAGCACUGCUCUCAAUAGCAAGACUGAUCAGUUGUUUUCAAGGACCAACCACAAAAAUACAAGCCCUCUCGAUGACAUGGCUGCAGUAUUUUAAGGACUAACUAAAAGUGCAACAAAGAUCCUCUAUAUGACAGGAGUGUGCUGAGUGUGGUGUUAUUUUCUAAUAAAAAAAAAGCUGACAACAGUAGAAACAUGCCCUUCAUUGCACAGCAA
Nerophis ophidion (straightnose pipefish) is the source of this 1784-nucleotide long non-coding RNA. RefSeq lists it as uncharacterized. The transcript is spliced from 3 exons. The record is from RefSeq and is a predicted model, not a curated record. Lineage: Eukaryota; Metazoa; Chordata; Actinopteri; Syngnathiformes; Syngnathidae.